Molecule: unclassified non-coding RNA, 210 nt
Filed under: uncultured fungus
Lineage: Eukaryota; Fungi
Description: partial contains 5.8S ribosomal RNA, internal transcribed spacer 2, and large subunit ribosomal RNA
Source: RNAcentral
AACGCACAUUGCGCCCCUUGGUAUUCCAUGGGGCAUGCCUGUUCGAGCGUCAUAUAACCCUUCAAGCUUUGCUUGGUGUUGGGCGUUGUCACCACGACUCGCCUCAAAUCUAAUUUACUGGCAGUGGCAUAUGGUGCAGCACAUGUACCUGCCCCGUCCGCUAAACCUUAAUUUGACCUCGGAUCAGGUAGGGAUACCCGCUGAACUUAA